UAGCGACAGGCUUAACACAUGCAAGUCGAGGGGUAGCACAGGUAGCAAUACCGGGUGGCGACCGGCGCACGGGUGAGUAACGCGUAUGCAACUUGCCUAUCAGAGGGGGAUAACCCGGCGAAAGUCGGACUAAUACCGCAUGAAGCAGGGAUCCCGCAUGGGAAUAUUUGCUAAAGAUUCAUCGCUGAUAGAUAGGCAUGCGUUCCAUUAGGCAGUUGGCGGGGUAACGGCCCACCAAACCGACGAUGGAUAGGGGUUCUGAGAGGAAGGUCCCCCACAUUGGUACUGAGACACGGACCAAACUCCUACGGGAGGCAGCAGUGAGGAAUAUUGGUCAAUGGCCGAGAGGCUGAACCAGCCAAGUCGCGUGAGGGAUGAAGGUUCUAUGGAUCGUAAACCUCUUUUAUAAGGGAAUAAAGUGCGGGACGUGUCCCGUUUUGUAUGUACCUUAUGAAUAAGGAUCGGCUAACUCCGUGCCAGCAGCCGCGGUAAUACGGAGGAUCCGAGCGUUAUCCGGAUUUAUUGGGUUUAAAGGGUGCGUAGGCGGCCUUUUAAGUCAGCGGUGAAAGUCUGUGGCUCAACCAUAGAAUUGCCGUUGAAACUGGGGGGCUUGAGUAUGUUUGAGGCAGGCGGAAUGCGUGGUGUAGCGGUGAAAUGCAUAGAUAUCACGCAGAACCCCGAUUGCGAAGGCAGCCUGCCAAGCCAUGACUGACGCUGAUGCACGAAAGCGUGGGGAUCAAACAGGAUUAGAUACCCUGGUAGUCCACGCAGUAAACGAUGAUCACUAGCUGUUUGCGAUACACUGUAAGCGGCACAGUGAAAGCGUUAAGUGAUCCACCUGGGGAGUACGCCGGCAACGGUGAAACUCAAAGGAAUUGACGGGGGCCCGCACAAGCGGAGGAACAUGUGGUUUAAUUCGAUGAUACGCGAGGAACCUUACCCGGGUUUGAACGCAUUCGGACCGAGGUGGAAACACCUUUUCUAGUAAUAGCCGUUUGCGAGGUGCUGCAUGGUUGUCGUCAGCUCGUGCCGUGAGGUGUCGGCUUAAGUGCCAUAACGAGCGCAACCCUUGCCACUAGUUACUAACAGGUAAAGCUGAGGACUCUGGUGGGACUGCCAGCGUAAGCUGCGAGGAAGGCGGGGAUGACGUCAAAUCAGCACGGCCCUUACAUCCGGGGCGACACACGUGUUACAAUGGCGUGGACAAAGGGAAGCCACCUGGCGACAGGGAGCGAAUCCCCAAACCACGUCUCAGUUCGGAUCGGAGUCUGCAACCCGACUCCGUGAAGCUGGGUUCGCUAGUAAUCGCGCAUCAGCCAUGGCGCGGUGAAUACGUUCCCGGGCCUUGUACACACCGCCCGUCAAGCCAUGGGAGCCGGGGGUACCUGAAGUCCGUAACCGCGAGGAUCGGCCUAGGGUAAAACUGGUA
Molecule: ribosomal RNA, 1429 nt
Filed under: uncultured organism
Description: SSU rRNA
Rfam family: Bacterial small subunit ribosomal RNA
Source: RNAcentral